This 628-nucleotide ribosomal RNA is filed under the name uncultured soil bacterium. RNAcentral's name for it is "bacterial SSU rRNA". It matches the Rfam family "Bacterial small subunit ribosomal RNA", at positions 34 to 676 of the family's 1533-position model. The record is from RNAcentral.
CGCUGGCGGCGUGCCUCAGACAUGCAAGUCNAACGAUUAAAGCUCCCUUCGGGGAGUGCAUMAAGUGGCGCACGGGUGAGUAACACGUAAGUAAUCUACCCUCGGGUGGGGAAUAACGUUCGGAAACGGACGCUAAUACCGCAUAAUGCAGCGGCACCGCAAGGUGACAGUUGUUAAAGAUUUAUUGCCUGGGGAGGAGCUUGCGGCAGAUUAGCUUGUUGGUAAGGUAACGGCUUACCAAGGCUACGAUCUGUAUCCGGUCUAAGAGGACGGUCGGACACACUGACACUGAAUAACGGGUCAGACUCCUACGGGAGGCAGCAGUCGGGAAUUUUGGGCAAUGGGGGAAACCCUGACCCAGCAACGCCGCGUGAAGGAUGAAGUAUUUCGGUAUGUAAACUUCGAAAGAAUAGGAAGAAUUAAUGACGGUACUAUUUAUAAGGUCCGGCUAACUACGUGCCAGCAGCCGCGGUAAUACGUAGGGACCAAGCGUUGUUCGGAUUUACUGGGCGUAAAGGGCGCGUAGGCGGCGCGGUAAGUCACUUGUGAAAUCUCUGAGCUUAACUCAGAACGGCCAAGUGAUACUGCAGUGCUAGAGUGUGGAAGGGGCAAUCGGAAUUCUUGGUGU